UUUACAGGAAAUUAAUAGACACGGUGAUCAGAGCAAUACACCAGUACAAACAUCAAUGUGGAAUUCGUAUACGGGCCCUCCAACUAUUCCACCUUAUGUAACAACGAGCAAUCCACCGCAAAAGUCACAUAUUCAGAGGCAGGCUAGUAGAUAUGGUGAUGUAUUUUUCUCCAGUCAAUCAUCUAGCAACAACUUUGCAGUCAUUAGAGAUGGAAAUGAGGAGUUUGAGUUUACUGGUUGGGGAGAAAAAUAGGCUACUUAUGUUUGUUUUUUGUUUUGACUAGAC
Non-coding RNA from Erythranthe guttata (spotted monkey flower), 286 nucleotides. The record is from RefSeq and is a predicted model, not a curated record. NCBI's taxonomy places the organism in Eukaryota, Viridiplantae, Streptophyta, Magnoliopsida, Lamiales, Phrymaceae.